Molecule: non-coding RNA, 12076 nt
Organism: Bactrocera oleae (olive fruit fly)
Lineage: Eukaryota; Metazoa; Arthropoda; Insecta; Diptera; Tephritidae
Source: RefSeq, a predicted model, not a curated record
CACAAGCACAGGCAAUCGACGGAAGACGCCACUGAACGCGCCACACGAAUGAAAGCCGGAACUAAUAAUGGAGCGACGAGCCUGCCGAAAUUAACAUCCACCACCAACAAUAACAACACACAUAAUAAGCGCACGUUUGCUACAAAUACCGCCAAGCCAAAGAACACGUACAUUUGCAAUGGGCGCGAAUGGCACUACUCGCAUACAGCUUACACCAAAACGUAUAAUAACAGCGCACAAUAACAUUAAAAUACAACAACAAGAAAGUGUAGCAAGAACAUACUGCAUGAGAGCAGUUAGUUGCAGGGAGUACUUGACUUGAUUCCUCGCCAUCGCCAUCGCCAUCGCCGACUCGUCAAUCGCAAUGUGGCAGUCGUGUGAAGUGAACGCGUAAAACGCAACGCUUGUGAAAAUGUUAGCUUUGCGUUGCAAUAGUAUACUUUAAAAGUUGUGUGUUUUUCUGCUUUUUUGUGACAUUAACAAUGCGUUGCGACCAAUUACGGUGUCUUAUUGAAGUGAAGUCGAGCGUAAACGAAGUGAAAAUGAUUAAGCAAUAUUGAUUAAGAAAAUGCAAAAUUAUGUAAAUCAAUUUGGUCAAAGCGCAAAGCAAAUUAGGAAAAAGAAGUAAUCACAUACAUAUGCAAAUGUGUGUGUGUGUGUGUAUGUGUAUGUGUGCCAGUUACUUAUGCGCUUAAAGUACAUUUUACGGUGAAAUGAGUUGAGUUUAGCAAAAAGUUCGUUGUGAAAAAUUCGCCACAAACACGCAGCGUGUGCUAGUAUGACAAAAUUCUGUAUGAGAGUUACGAAAAAUACUAUAUAUAAAAUACAGGUAAAAAAACCAAACUGGUUUCUAAUGAAUACUGAAGUAGAUAAUAAAUAUGUAUGUGGAGAUCUGUAGAAUUUUCCGAACACAAACUGAAAAUAAAGAAUACACACAAGUGAUAACGGAGAUCCGCACUUUAAUUAUACCUAAAACAAAAACGAAUACUAAAAAUGUAACAACAACCGAAAUAUCGUAAUAGUCUUCCAAGAAACUAACAAAAACAAAGUUCUGUUCAGAAGUCCACAAGACCAGCGAUGGAAAAAAUUGUGGAAAUUUACAGCAGUUACAAUAACAAACGGCGACCUUUUCACGCUAGGAUUCAGAAAGAGUUUACAACGCUAGUGACGAGUACGAGAAAAAACUUAAAAUGCAGCAACAACAAAAAUUAUAUACAUAAAAACAACUGUAGCAAAACAACCACUACACACAACGAAAUUUCUGCAAAACAACAAAAGCAACAAUCAAAUCAACGACUGGGACCAAUUCGGCGAGAGCAACAGUACUAUGCACGACAUGCGAGCACGACAGCGGCAACAACACAAAGCCAACAACACGAACAACAACAACAACCACAGCUAACGCCCACUGUCAACUAUUUUCGCUUCUCCGCUUUGUAUGCACUUGUAGCGACUUCCGCUACAGCAGCCGCGUGCAACAUGCGUGAAACAUACGCGUGCGUGACUGCGUACGAUGAAGAUACCGAUGUCGUAGCUGAUAUUAAUGACUAUAUGCCACACAACCAUAAUACACGACAGCGUUGUGUGCACGACGCAAGCAUUUUGCAUUUGAGACGUAGCCAUAAAAGCCUUACACACUUCAGCAAAUACUUGCGCACCACAUGCCUCCGGAGUCGUAGCGGUGUUCGACAUGAUGCCGCCUCAGGUGAUGUCAGCGGUUGUGCUCUCUACAGUGCGUUUGGUACUGCUGCCGGAAGCGGAACCACGUAUGCUGGUAGUGGCCUCGAUACGCGUAGCAUUUUCUAUUUAACGCUCGUAUUUUUCAUCUAUUGUACCGUAAUGAUGCGCGCCUCCGUAGCGGCGACAGCCAUUGCCAAUGCGACAAUGCAUAGCAAUAAUAGUAAUUGCGUUGCCAAUGAUGCGCUCUCAGUGGCGGCAGUCACAUUGUCGUCAUUUUCUGUUGAUCCUAUUGCGAGCAAUGUGACGAGAACUAGUGCAAUAGUGAUUGACAACAGUGCCCAAGACACAGCGUCAGUUUCAGCGCCUAAUACUAUGCACAGUUCUAUAAAAAAACCAUCACAUGUCGCUGUUAACUUGACAACUGCUAUAGUGAAUGCUUCAUUGUUGGCAGCAGCUGAUGCGCCAGCCGAUUUUAUGGUGUACGCGAACGACACCAGCCUAGCGAAAGUGCAGCGCGUUGCAAAGCGCGAUACCGCUCAUGUGCCUGAUGAUGAGGAUGAUUCCGCCUAUCAUGAUGACGAAUUUGAUGAAUACGAGGCUUUAAUUAACAAUAGAUCUGCUAAGGGCAAAUAUAUCGGUGCUCCCUGCUUCAGUAACAUGACAUGCGAAACUUCAUUGAUUCAUGUCGCCUGUGAUAAGGAGACAAAGAUUUGCGGCUGUGAAAAAAAUUACCCAGUGCAGCUUGGACUGACAAAAGGUUGCGAUAAACCGAAAAAACUGGGCGAGCAGUGUUUCUACGAUGAAACCUGUAUGUUUAGCGAUGAAAAUUCCCUUUGUAUUCAAGUGCGACACAAUGCCAUGUGUCAAUGUGCGAAUGGGUUUCAUUCGGUUAGUCACACGAAGCCAACGCGACGUGUUUUUUGCACGAAAGACUUAAAGGAAUUAAAUUCUGAUCUGCCUACUCUACUGGGUGUCGCUACGGGCAUAGCAGUGCUUACCGGUCUUAUCUGUAUGGUACUACAUCUAUUUACCAAAACAAAGUAUCCACGUCCCCGAAACUUUGGCGAUGCGAAUCUACCGCCACCGAUAAUGUAUUCAAGCGAUACAGGUAUACCGUUGACAGUACAAUCGGGUCGACCAUCAUCACGUUCCAGUUUACGUUCGAGUGGCUCAAUCGGUUCCUAUGGCAAUCGACGCGCCUCAUCCGGUGGCGCUACAGCUGGUGUGCAUGGUAUGGGUGGUGGUGGCGGUGGCGGCAGUAGCGGUACGAAAGGCAUACUCGUCUCUACAUCACGUACAGGUGCGGCUAGAUCGGCCGCCAUAUUGCUUAUAUCGUGUCAUUUGACGGAGCUCGCCAAAGAGGCGGCCUUACGCACCACAACGUCGCGUCAAACUUCGGGCGCCGGCUGCAGUGCGAAUUCGCGUGACAAUCUGGAUGAGAAUGGGUCAGGUGGUGUCACAACUGCCGGCACAGUCGGUGGCAGUGGUAGUCGUAGCUGCGACAGUACAUUGUCAAUGACGCGUCAUCUGCAGAAGCAGUUGAACCAUCAGCGUCAUUUAUUAAGUCUUGAGCUGUCGCCGGCAAAAACGAAAAAUAACGAUAGAAUUAGAACAUUGUUGGGCAUUAAUGGAAUUGAUAAUUAUAGAACCGAUGACGAUGAUGAGUUAAAUAGUUUAGAUCAUAAUCACCUGCAAAUUGGUGCAUUGCCGACACCGGCCAGUGAAACGCCUAGAUUUGCGGUUCUCGAAGACCAAGUCUAGCGUCGGUUCAUAGUACUAGCUCGUCUGUGCGUAGUUAUAGUAUGAUGCGUUUCGAGAAGGAGGUCCAACAGAAAGAGAUACGUCAGGAGAUGAAAUUACGUUUGGCACGUCUGCAACAACAGCAACAUCUAAAUCAAAAUAAGCCGCAAAUUGUAAUUGGCGAUACGCUACAACAUCACAUGAGCGCUGCAUCGGCGCUAAGUCGCUUGAGCGGUAUGCCAACACCGAGUCCAUUAACUCCAAAUUCAACAGAUGAACUAUUACCGUCGGUGGAUGAGUUGCAAGAAUAUCCACCGAAAAGUGACGAUCUAGCAACAACAAUACACAAAAUGGCUGCUGAUAGCGUGGCCGCUUCUACGCUUACCGCGAUAAAGCAAGCAGCAAUCGGUACAAGCAUCGCCUUAACAACAACCAUGGGUGCAACAACAAUGGCUACGAGCUCGGCUGCCAUUGGUGGUGGCAGUUUGAUGACACCGGGUACACCAUCCGAUGUGGUUGGAGCUGCUGCCUAUAUUGGACCCUGUAGUUCAUCGACUGAAGCACUCUAAAAGAGUGACACUUAAGCGUUACAAAAAGGCGUUACACACACAAAUAAUCAAUUAGAAAAAUAAAGAAGAAUCUUAGACAGACAGUAGAAAUUAACGAAUUUGCCAGCAAUGAACAGUUAGAGGCUUCAAAUCGUAAAAAAAUCUACAUCUAUUUAAGUAUAAAAUAACCAUAUAGCAAUUAAAACGGUUUUGUACGACGUGUGUACGGCGCAUGCGCAAAACUUGAACGGUCAGUUGCGCAAACUUUAUAUUACUGAUGAGUUAUAAAAUCUAAAUUUAAAGAAAAUGCUAAAUAAAAUUAGCUAUAUGAAGUGCGUUUUGCUUAAACACUUAGACAAAAUUAAUAAGCUAAUUUUUUAUGCAGCCGUUGUUGUAGGUUAGGCUAGUUUAGCGUUAAUUGUAAUUUAAAUGCGACUUAAUUGUAACGGUUCUAUGUAUGUAUAACAUACCAAUAGUCAUUAUAGCGUUCCCCAUAUUGAAUUUAUACUAACACAUCCGCAAAUGUAAAUAUGUAAUGGUUUUAAUUUAAGCUAACUGUACUUUAAAGUUGUUGUUAUCACUGUAAUAGACCGAACUAAAAAGGCGUAAACGCCUAACAAUUUUUAUUGUGUAAAUUUUGAUUUGAUGAAAACAUUACAACGCUUUAACCAUGGUUGUCCUUGAUCUGCCUCCAUUACCCACAAAAGUGGUUUCACUUGAACUCUCAGUUUUCGUAUGAAAGCGUAGAUACGAUGAAAAUAUUUUUAAUACAUUUAAACUAAGCAAUAGACAGAACAGGAAUUGGCACAGCAUAUAUUUAUAACAUACUUUUUUGAUUUUAAGAUAAUUUCAUUCUUUUUUGUUACUUUAGGUUUAUGUAUUGGUUUCCUUACUUUUAGUUAUGUUUUACGUUAUAUAUUCUUUUAGUUAGCCGUAAUCAUUUACAAAAUUGAAUGUAUGUACGUUAUUAAUAGGCGAUUCAUUUCGAAACAUUUUGGAUUCUUUUGAUCCCAUAGCCGAUCUCCAGAAGGUCCUCUGUAAAAAGGUGUUUGGCGGUGAGGAAGAUUUUUCUACUUAGAAUUAUCUCAAACUCAAAUAAAAACUUUAACAUUAUUAUAGAUAAAGACGCUUAAUGAUCGUAGGAUUAGUCAAAAUUUUAUGUUUGGAAAUUAUUAUCAAAAAUUUCAUACCUUCAAUCUUUUCUUGAAAAUUAUAUUGUAUAUAAUAUCUAAGAAGGUCGUGUGUUCCUUUUGGAGAAAUUUUCCUCGCCGACUCUAAAAAACGCGUUUAAAGUUUUAGGUGUCGAAACUAUUUGGUGGAUCAAUUUCAAAUUCUUCGGGAACCUUUUCUAAUAUAUGUAUUUACGACAUAUUUGAAAAAAUUUAAUUUUUGUGAAAUUGAUUAAUGCAUAUAACCCUCAAAACUAUGCUCUCAGUGCAACUGUCUGAGAAGGUCGAUUGUGAUAGAGCGUAAUUUAAAUAAGUAUAAAAUAUUUCUCAGUGUAACUUAAUUUUAUUAUUUUAUUAGUUUACGUCCGAAAGUGCAAGGAUUAAUUAUCAUCUGUUAGGAAAAUAUAUAUAAAUAAAUUAUACUCCAUGGUUCAUUAAUAAUAUAAUUUAAUUAAAUUAGUUAUUGUUUUUUUUUUGUUUAAACUAAAAUAAUUUAAUUAAAAAGUAUUCUGGUGCCAGUUUCCAUAAAUUUAAAUAAAAUUGACUACUAUUAAAAAAAUUUGAUUUUUCUAAUAAUAUGAGAAUUUAGGAAGCAUCAUACAAAGAAAGAUCGAAAGCAGGAAAUGCAGUGUUAUUGAAUUUAAUUAUAUGUAUACUUAUAUAAAAAUUUCAAUAUAUAUAUAUAACAUAAAUAUAAUGUAGAUAAAUAAAAUGAAAUUAGCAAAAAUUUAAAAAGACUUUAGUAAAUUGAAAAUUUUAAUUUUUUAGUACCCAAGUACCCAAAAUAGCUAAGAUCAAUAAAAUAAGCGGAAAAUUACAUAAAUUAGUGAUGACAAAUUUACGUAUAGAAACAGUUAUAUAGUUAUAUUUUGAUUAUGAAGCGUAAUAUGUUAAAAAUGAAAUGCGAAACAAAAACAAAAUAUAUUAUGAAAAACCAAUAAUAAAAUUACAAUAAAAACAGUAUAAUUAAUUAGAUAAAAAUGUGUUAAAUAGAUUUUUGAUGUACAAGUAUAAAAAGUGUAUGCAAAUUUACAUAAAAUAAUUAAUAUACUUAUGUGUACGUGAAGUUUCUAACACAUAUGUAUGUAUGUUUGUAGCGUAAAAAUUUAUGGUAGGCAUAUUUGAUAAGGAUUUUUUAUAUACACACACACAAACUUUGUGGUCCUUAUAACUAUAGAUGUAUGUAUGUGUAUGUAUACAAAUGAAGAAGAAAUCGGCAAGUGUCACAUAUAUUUAAUAUGAUUUAUAAUGCAAAUAAAAGAAAUGCAACUAAUAAUAUUUGUUAUAAGUAGGCAAAAGUUAAAAACGAAUAUAACUAACUGUACAAGCGUUAAAUGUAUUUUGACAUAAAAAAUAUUUAUUUGUUGUUGUUAAGUUGACAUAUAGCAAAUGAGUUGAUUUUGUUACAAGCAUUAAUUCAUUCAACGCUAGGAAUUGUUGUGCAAUAAGAAAUAAAAAAAAAAACUAAAGCGUGUUGAAAAAGUAUUAGUUUAUAGAAAUUACUAUUUGAAUUACACACAAAUAUUAGUUUUUUAAUUGUAAACACGCAACAAAAACAUCACCUGUGUAUAAAUUGAUGUUUAGUAUUAGCAAAACAGUAUUAUUUACAAGAAGAAACAUUUUAUGAAUACAACUUUACUAAAGAAGAACACUUUUCUUAUUUAUAUUUAUGUAUAAAAAUACAUUCAAACACAAAUAUAUACAAAAAUGACACAAAAACAAUAGCAAACUUAUAGAAAAAUUGCAAUUUGUUGACUUAUUUGCAAUUGCAUUCUAAAAUACUACAGGGUCUACCAAUGAGAACGACGUGAUGUUGAAAUGAAACACUUAAAUUUGGUUAAAAUAGGUUCUUUAUUUCUUUUUUGUUAUGCAGAUAAUUUUAUGCCAUGCUCCGUUUGCAUAUCUGCGCCCAUUUACGUAAAUUUUCGAUGACCCAGCAUGCAACAUUUCGUAUGAAAUUUUGGCUUGAUUUAACAUAGCCCAAGAGAGAAUAAUCCUGAGGCGUUAAAUGGCAUAAUCUUGUCGGUCAUUUCUGAAAUUAACGUGUAGCCAAACUUUGCAUGCAGUGUCUGGAUGUUUAGACGUGAAACUUGAGGCGGCGCACCGUCUUGUUGCAAAUAAAAAUCGUCCGCGUCGGUUUCAUCAAAUUCCGGGAAAGAAGUCGGUCAACAUCGUGUAAUAACGUUCAAUAACGACAAUUUCCAAACGUUGUACCCAAGUUAAGCGUGACAUGAUGAAAUGGCAAACCUUACUGAACAAGCUGAUAAAAUUAUACACAAAUCCGUAAACAAACAUGGCAGCCACGAGCUGUCAAAAUCACGUCAUCCUUAUUGGUAGAUGCUGUAUUUUAGUGAGUUUAACUACUUAUUGAACACACUGUACAACAUUAAUGCAUGGUAAAAGCUAACUGGGUCUUUGAAAACAUAUUAUAGUAUAUAUGGGGUCAAAAGUCGAUGUUUUACUUGAAAGGUUUCAGAAAUUUAUGUGGAUUUUUAGUUUAGUGAUGUCAAAGUUCAAUUUUUUCUAGGAACAAACGGCAUUCGUUAUUUGUUGAAUUUUGCAAAUACAGACUACUAACAGCUUAUAAAUGUUAUAUGAUAUAGCCUGCAAAUAUUUUCUUGCUUCCGUUAAUACUCACUGUAUACAUAAUACUUGUAUGCGUCAUUUUAGCAACUUCUGAAAAAACUAUUUGAAAUUGAAGCCCAUUAAACCGGCCCUUAUUUACUAAAAUAUAUGAGAAAAUAUUUCUUUUCUGAAUUUUUGCUUGAGGGGUACGCCUAGUGUUACCUAAAAACAAAAAUGUAUCGACUAGAAGAUAUUAUCCGUACAACGAUGAGCGCUAAAUAAAAUCAAAACUUGAACAUAUGGCAGCGUUUUGUAAAAGAAAGUUAAAUUUUAAUAAUGAUCGGAUCAUUUGUCUUUAAGUAUUGAUUGCGGCAAAUUCGAAAAAUGCUGUUUCGAGAAAAUCGCGUUUAAAGAUAAACUCAUUGCCUAUUGACUAUUGACGGCUAGACUUUAAAAGGCUGUAAUUCAAAAAUUAUUAAAAAUUUGAGUAUGUAUUUUUGCAUAUGCAAGAAAAAAAAGAUUGUUUCGAAUUUUCACACUGGUGUGUGAAUUUUCAAAUGUAAACUUUUAAAACCGUUUCAAACAAACAUUCUGUUUUGGUACCUUUAUAGCAUAAUUCAAUAUUAGACCCCUGUUACUUAUUCGUAAUUCCUGGAUUUUGUUGUACAGUGUCAUAUUUUCAUAUCUAUAGUUUUGUAGACCUGUUGGCUUUAUUCCUAAAGCAAUACUAACUACUCUUCUCUACAGAAAUACGAAAUUAGCGCAUAUCUCUACUAUAAUCAUUUUAGUAAACUUUUCACCACCUGAACCGACCCCUAUUCGCCAUUUGGAUAAAUUGUUUUCUUAUAAACUAACACUUAGUAGCUACUCUAUAAUAUAUGUAGAAUGUACUGUGUUACAUAUCAAAAUCAUUUUGGAACUCGUCGUCCAUUUCAAUUUACGCUUCACUGAAACGCUUAAAAUAAAUAAUAGAUUAAACUAUCUAUCCAUUUGUUCCGUCCUUUGGUUAAAACAUACUUUCAACCGUCCUCAUCCAAACAUAUACGGCGCUUUAACAUAACAUAACAUUGCAUAACAACUUUGGUCUAAUAUAACAUGAUGUAGCAUAGCAUAACAUAACAUGACUUACAUAACAUUACAUAACACAGCAUAGCAUAACAUAACAUGACAUCGCAUAACAAAACAUAACAUGACAUAGCAUAACAUACUAACUUACAGACUCAGUGUGCUUAUAUAUAUAACCUAAUUUAAGUCGAGAAAACAUUAUUAUUAUCCCAAAGAUAACUGUUAGUCAAAAUUGGCCCUAGGUCCUGAUGCCAGCAAAUCGCAUUGAAACAAAUUAAGUGUAGAGUUGAAGUACGGUCAUAUGUGUCAAGAAAAGCAUCAAAAAUCGAAAAGUCCGUACUAGAUUUUUAGUCAUGAUCAAGUUAACAUAUUGACGAGUCCUUCAAAACAGAUUAAAUGUAGAUAAACUGAAAGAGUGAACCCAAGUGUUCUAUUAAACCAGUUAUACAGCUAAUAGUUAGGUGGCAUCUUUGUUUCAAUGUCAUGUUAGUUCAUCAUAUUUUAAAUUAUGAGCUCAAAGCUGGUUCAAGUUCAAUCAAAGGGUAUUCUAGGAACCCGAAGCGAUAUGCUAAAGGAGUAUUCAUGUCAAAUUUCAAGUAAAUCGAUUUUGAUUUUUUAAUUUGAUUUUUGGAAAAUCUUUAUCUUAAUCUAAGAAAGUUGUUUUGAAUAUCGUAACUAUCGAAAGAUGAAAAAAGGGUUUGAAAUGCGCCUAAAGAUAGGCAAUCUUUUUGAAACUCUUCUAAAGAAUCAUAUUUCUCAUUUCUCGAACCAAAUUUUAGCAAUACUGAAAGAUAAUAUUCAAACCUUAUCUGGUUUUAGGUAUUUGAAAUAAAUAGAUUUUUUAAAAUUUCUGGACUACCCUUUGGUUAAAGUUUAAACGAACAGAAAAGUGACGAAUCGAAAACGAUAAAUAUUUUUUCUAAAGUGUCAUGCAUGUCAUGUCUUUUUCAAUAUUCCAAAAAUAUAGCCAAUUUCAUUCAUCGUCUUACUUUAUAACGCACAUAAAUCAAAGUAAUAUUUAACAAAAAAAUACGCAACAUUUUCAUACAUAUAGACGAAGUUAUCUCUGUAAAAGACAGUAUUAUUAGCUACAUUUGUCAUUAUUAUAUAAUAUGUCUUGCUGUCUUCGAUUCCGCAAACCUUUACGAUUGGCGAAACGAACAAAAACUGGCAUAAAAAACAAAAAUAAAUAUAUAUAAUACUAGCGAGUAGUUAUGCCUGUAUAACUUUUGUGAGGUGGACGAAUCGAAGACGUUUUAUAUAUUUAGAACAUAUCCGUAUAUAUUUUUUUGUAGACUGUAUGAUUUACUUAGUUGUUAAGCAAUUAUGCUGCUGCUAUAUAGAACCCAAUAUUGAGACCUACUUGAACUAUACCCAUCCUCUAUGUAUACCUAGUGUUCGUAUUAUAUACAAAUCUAUUACAAAGUUAUACACCAAGUACACACAUAACUAACUACCUAACUACGAAAUUUAGAUGUAUACUAUACUACUAUUAGAAUUUGGUAUUGUAGUUGAAAGCUACACUCUAUAGCCAUGCCUAAACCUGCGUUGUGUUAACCCUUGUGAACUACAAAUAAAUAAUUAAUAUGAAACCAUAAAAAACAUAUGCAUACUUACAAUAAAAACAUUAAAAAAUAUUUAACAAUGUGAAAUCAAAGAAAUAACUGUAAUAGUUAAAGUAAAUUAAAGCAAAAGUUUGCAGCAAAGAAAUAGAAGCUAACUACUUAAAAAUAAUAGUUUAAUUUUAGAUAACUAAAUGAACUGGUUAAUUAUGUAUGGUACUUACAAACUUGCAUAUAUACUUAUUUAUUAUAUAAUAGGAAUUUAAUACAAACAAAAUAGAAAUAGUAUGAAAAGAAAUUUGUAGAAAUUUUGCAGACCCCAAACCAAACAGAAAUAUAAAUCAAACUUAAUACUUAUUGCUAAGAAAAAUCUACUACUACAAAUAUGAUGAAAUUGGUUUUCGAAAAGAUUACAUUAACAUUAACUAAGUAAAUAAAACAGUUAAAACAACUAUAGAACUAGAAAAACUUAAAUUUAGUGCGACCUAUUAUACAUAACAUAUUUAGCUCUUAACUUGCUGAAGACAUAUUUUUUGUAUUCAUAUUUCGCAUAUUGCAACGAAAUUUUUAUGCUAAAUAGUUUCAUAAUAUUUAAUGUUAUGUUCGCAAUGAGUUGCUAAACAAAAUAUGGUUUUGACAUAAACAUUUUAAGUUCUUCUCUUCUUUUAGGCCAAAAUUGUGUGCACAGGCCCUAUGCUUCCCUUAGGCACUAUAGGGAAAUACAUACGACUAUACGUAUACCUAUACGAGUGUGGGUAACAUGUUCCCAUCUUUCUCGGAAUUCGUGGAUUUCAUCCUAAAAGCAUUAAGCCGGCUUUUCAGCUAAAAAUAAAUAAAGAGAAUUUUCGAUACAUUCUCUGAUUCUGAUGUGCACCAUAGUCCAGUGAGGGCGUUUUGGAACGACCGAAACAAAUCGUAGUUAGAAGGGGAAACGUCUGGGCUAUAAGCUAAUACAGCUGAGGCAAAGGAAAUUGUUUUUAACCGGUCUUGCAAGAAAAGGUCGGUUGCCAUGAUUGAAAACUAUCGUUGCCUAACUAUUAUUGCCGGUAGUGUUCCCCAUUAAUGUUUUCACCUGGUUUUAGAAGCUAAUAAUACAGCCCGCACUUUGGGUCGCUCCAAAUAUAAAGCAUUACCUUGGUGUCAUGGAUAUUCCGCUUUGCCGUUGAUUUGGCAUGAUCGAGUGUCAAAACGGCAAUUACUAUAAGAGAUUAUAUAGUGUCACCCUGUCAACAAUUUCAAAAAAUAUUUUCUAAAAACAUACGAAUUUCGAAUACUAACCAACAUCCAAAAAGUAUGCAGCCAUUUUCGAACUUAGCGUGCUAAAACAGUGUGCUUAAGAUUUUCUGAAGUUAUAUAGUGCUAAAAUUGUAUAUUUUUUGCAUUAAAUCACCAAAGUUAAACAUUUGAAAUUUAAUUUUAUUUAAUUUAUUUUUUCAAUGCCAUUUAUUCAAAAAUAUACAUAAAACUACAAAAUAGUUGAAAGAUAUGUUCAAGCAACGCCUAAAACUAUGCAAUAAAAGCUGUAAAAUAAUAAACAACCACGUAAUAAACCACAAACAAUUGAAAUUUGAAAUUUAUUAUCCUUUCGCCAAAAUUUUCGAACAAGUUAUGUAGUUUUUGUUGUUAAAAAUUUAUGAAUAGGUAUGUAAAAUAGAUUAUAAUAAAAUACGAAUUGAAGCAGCAGACAACAAGAAGUAUAAGAAAAUGUUAUUUAGAAAAAUAAAGCAACGCCAAAAAAUAUAUAUGA